Molecule: ribosomal RNA, 364 nt
Filed under: Sipyloidea sipylus
Lineage: Eukaryota; Metazoa; Arthropoda; Insecta; Phasmatodea; Lonchodidae
Description: partial 28S ribosomal RNA
Source: RNAcentral
AGUUCAAGAGUACGUGAAACCGUUCAGGGGUAAACGGGAGAAAUCCUGAAUUCGAAAGGGGGUUGGAUUCAAGUCCUUCCGUGUAUCUGGGCCGCCCCAGCCAGAUGGCGCCGGUCGCCCGCGGCGAUUAAUUUCGCUUGCGGUGUCGUAACCGGCGAUCACUGCCUGNACAUGGUUUAGGGGUGCCGGAGGGAGUGCACUUCCUCCCUAGUAGAAACGUCGCGACCCGUUGGGUGCCGGUCAAAGGCCCGGGAUGGCAGACCGCGCGUCCUGGGGGGGGUUCUCCCUCGCAGGGCGCGCGGACUCCUGGUGACCCGGCCGGCCGCCCGACGGUAUGACCAGAGGGAGUCGAUCCGCUGAAAUG